RNAcentral lists this ribosomal RNA (439 nucleotides) under uncultured bacterium. RNAcentral's name for it is "partial 16S ribosomal RNA". It matches the Rfam family "Bacterial small subunit ribosomal RNA", at positions 338 to 795 of the family's 1533-position model. The record is from RNAcentral.
CCUACGGGUGGCUGCAGUGGGGAAUAUUGCACAAUGGGGGGAACCCUGAUGCAGCAACGCCGCGUGGGUGAAGAAGUACUUCGGUAUGUAAAGCCCUGUCAGCAGGGAAGAAAAUGACGGUACCUGACCAAGAAGCCCCGGCUAACUACGUGCCAGCAGCCGCGGUAAUACGUAGGGGGCAAGCGUUAUCCGGAUUUAUUGGGUUUAAAGGGUGCGUAGGCGGGCUGUUAAGUCAGCGGUAAAAGCCCGGGGCUCAACCCCGGCGAGCCGUUGAAACUGGCUGUCUUGAGAUGUCGAGAGGUAUGCGGAAUGCGCAGUGUAGCGGUGAAAUGCUUAGAUAUUGCGCAGAACUCCGAUUGCGAAGGCAGCAUACCGGCGGCGAUCUGACGCUGAGGCACGAAAGCGUGGGUAUCGAACAGGAUUAGAUACCCCUGUAGUC